This 359-nucleotide long non-coding RNA is filed under the name Canis lupus dingo (dingo). RNAcentral's name for it is "lncRNA (ENSCAFG00020004455.1)". Lineage: Eukaryota; Metazoa; Chordata; Mammalia; Carnivora; Canidae. The record is from RNAcentral.
CAUCACCAAAAAACGAAUAUGUAGAGAUGACGUUUCUGGCCAGGUCUGGCUGAGCCAGGCUGCUCUGCUGGGCUCAGAGCAAACUACCACCAGCAACACUGUACUGACCAGGAGUUAACCACCUAGGAAAGGGCCCAUGGAUAAAGACAAUCAACAACUCUGAUCAAGGAAGAACAACAACUGUAGCCUUUUAGUUACAAGUUUUUUCUACCACUAUCACAGACUUAAAAGAGAGAGCAAGUAUGACUGGGGGGAGCAGCAGGACCCUGGGAUCAUGACUAAGCAGAGGAUUAACCAGCUGAGCCACCAGGUCAGUUAAGCCUGUUCACAGUAUUUAUCACAGUGUUUAUUACUGAAAU